This 1448-nucleotide ribosomal RNA is filed under the name human gut metagenome. RNAcentral's name for it is "bacterial LSU rRNA". It matches the Rfam family "Bacterial large subunit ribosomal RNA", at positions 910 to 2387 of the family's 2925-position model. The record is from RNAcentral.
CUGAAUUUCCUAGGGGGCGUCAAAGCCUACCGAAGAAUAUCAAACUCCGAAUGCCGCGUAAUCGAUUAUCGGGAGUCAGACUGCACGAGAUAAGUUGGGCGGUCAAAAGGGAAAGAGCCCAGACCUUCAGUUAAGGUCCCAAAGUGCGCGUUAAGUGGAAAAGGAUGUGGGAUUUCGAAGACAACCAGGAUGUUGGCUCAGAAGCAGCCAUCCAUUCAAAGAGUGCGUAAUAGCUCACUGGUCGAGAGGUCCUGCGCCGAAAAUGUCCGGGGCUGAAACGCGCCACCGAAACUAAGGAACCGAAAGGUUGGUAGAGGAGCAUUGCAUGCGGGAAGAAGCAGUACCGUAAGGAGCUGUGGACUGCAUGGAAGAGAGAAUGCCGGAAUGAGUAGCGAGAUAGAGGUGAGAAUCCUCUAGGCCGAAUAUCCAAGGUUUCCAGAGUAAAGCUGAUCUGCUCUGGGUAAGUCGGGGCCUAAGGCGAGGACGAGAGUCGUAGCCGAUGGACAACAGGUGGAGAUUCCUGUACUGCGGUAUGACAGAACUGUGGGGACACGUAAGGAAAGCGGAAGCCGGGAAUGGAAAGCCCGGUGCAAGCGGGGUACCAGUCACUUUGGCAAAUCCGGGUGGCAAUGGGAAGCCGUGAUGCGGAGCGAAAUAAAGUAGCGAAGUCCGUGAGCCAUGCGUCAAGAAAAGCCGCUAUUGUUUAUACCGUACCCGUACCGUAAACCGACACAGGUGGAUGAGGAGAGAAUCCUAAGGCCGGCGGAAGAAGCAUUGUUAAGGAAUUCGGCAAAAUGACCCCGUAACUUCGGGAGAAGGGGUGCCUGCGAGAGCAGGCCGCAGAGAAUAGGCUCAAGCAACUGUUUAGCAAAAACACAGGUCUAUGCGAAACCGAAAGGUGAGGUAUAUGGGCUGACGCCUGCCCGGUGCUGGAAGGUUAAGAGGAGAGGUUAGCGCAAGCGAAGCUUUGAAUUUAAGCCCCAGUAAACGGCGGCCGUAACUAUAACGGUCCUAAGGUAGCGAAAUUCCUUGUCGGGUAAGUUCCGACCCGCACGAAAGGCGUAAUGAUUUGAGCGCUGUCUCGACAAUGCAUCCGGUGAAAUUGAAGUACCAGUGAAGAUGCUGGUUACCUGCGCCAGGACGGAAAGACCCCAUGGAGCUUUACUCCAGUCUGGUACUGGGACUCGGUAUUGCAUGUACAGGAUAGGUGGGAGGCUAGGAGAUGGUAACGCCAGUUGCCAUGGAGCCGCUGUUGGGAUACCACCCUUGCAGUAUUGGGUUUCUAACCAGCCGCCGUGACCCGGCGGUGGGACAAUGCCAGACGGGGAGUUUGACUGGGGCGGUCGCCUCCGAAAGGGUAUCGGAGGCGCCCAAAGGUUCCCUCAGAAUGGACGGAAACCAUUCGAAGAGUGCAAAGGCAGAAGGGAGCUUGACUGCGACACCGACGG